Molecule: long non-coding RNA, 521 nt
Filed under: Rattus norvegicus (Norway rat)
Lineage: Eukaryota; Metazoa; Chordata; Mammalia; Rodentia; Muridae
Description: long non-coding RNA NONRATT015005
Source: RNAcentral
GAACUGUAAGAAACAACUUUGCUGCAUUAACUAAUUUGCAAGAUCGCGCACCCAGCAAAAGAUCACCCAUGUGCAACCAACCAUCCAUCAACAAAGCCACCAUCACAGCUCAUCGAAAGAAGCCAGAAGUUUUGGAAAAUAAAAUAUCACAACAGAUGAGACAUGUGGUGAGCCUGCACAAACAAUAUAGCAGAGGGCGCUCCCCUUCCCCACUUUUGAUGGAAGCUUGGAACACACCAAUGAACCUUAUACGGUAGACCUCCAUCUAGAGGAGGCCUACCAGAAACUGGCCAGCGAGACCCUGGAGGAGCUGGACUGGUGUCUGGACCAGCUAGAGACCCUGCAGACCAGGCACUCCGUCAGUGAGAUGGCCUCCAACAAGUUCAAGAGGAUGCUUAAUCGGGAGCUCACCCACCUCUCUGAAAUGAGUCGGUCUGGCAACCAGGUGUCGGAGUACAUAUCAAACACGUUCUUAGAUAAGCAACAUGAAGUAGAAAUUCCCUCUCCGACUCAGAAGGAAA